CUCGGGUAUCAUUUGAUGAUGGCAAGCUGGACGCUCGCCGGCGCUCCACAGCAGCCGAGUCGGCCCCACGUGGGCCACGAGGCAGGUUACAGCUACAGAAGCUUCUGAACGCUCAGCCUCUGAAGCUGCCAUUCAGGAGGGUAGGACCAAUGUGGCAGGUAAAGGGUAACUGUGCCUGGGCUGACCCCAGCAGCAGCUGUCCCUCACUCUGUGGAAGGCAGAGAACGUGUGGCACUCUGCAUUUAGCACAGUGCUUUUGGAAUUAAAAAUGUAGGUUAAAUUGGUGUUGAUAGCACUGGUUAACGCAAUCUUACAAAGCUCUUAGAAAAACAACUCAGCCUGGGCACAAAAUGAUUUUUCUCCCCCAGUUCUUUGCUUUGAUGCUCAGAGAUGAUGGAGGAAGAGACAGAAUUUCUGUUCAAUUCAUCCCUUGCCUGUCCAUGUGCAGUAGGUGAGACAAGAACAAUUUUUGGGCAGCUGGCUUAGAAGCUCUAAAAGAAAUUGUCACGUCCCCUAAUGAAAUGGAGGGGUCGAGGCAUGUGUAUAGACUCGAUGCCAAAUGUCUCACCAUGUGUUCCCUUGAUUGCCAUGGUGCUCUACAGGUUUCCCAAGCCUUGUGCUCCAUCCUCUUGGUGCAAAACUCCCCAAGGACACCCCAGUUUGCAAGACUAAAGGAUCUGUGCUCAUCAAUGUGAAGAGCUGCAUGGGUGGCCUGCCCCGGCUGCUCUUUUGUUGGCUGAACCUCAGUGCUUGCAUCUAAAUGACUGACCCAGCCCCUGAGCAUGCUUUUAAAGCUGACUUUGAUCAAAGGGGCUGAAGGUUGCUGUUGGCUACAAAUGCUCUAGAAAAACAAACCCAGGAGUUAGGAGACUGUUGGUAACAAAAGCAGAGUUAAACCUCUGAGGCCAAGUUACUGCCACCCCACUUUUUUGUUCUUUCUUCUGUUUUCCAUAUUCUGAGUGCCAGUCCUUGUCUGAAGAGGGUUCUCAGCAGCGAGCUGCCUGCACACCUCAAAGCCUGACACUGUCAGGCUUUGACCUGCCUGUCCCUUUGUGCGCGCUGGGCUUGGCCUUCUGCUUUGGUUUGGCUGUUCAAUCGAUGAGACUUGUCCAUCUUGGACUCUUUGCCUGUUUGCUCUAAUUUCCAUACAUAGCCCUUUUUGCUAGAUUGCAUGUAAAUGCUCUUAUUAGUUUAUCAGAUAACUUACAUCUUGCACUUCAUGGUGUUCUAAUUGUGGCAAUCAGACUUGACUGUGUCCUAUCCCAAGUGUUUUGGAUGCAUUUUGAAGCCUUCCAGCCAGAGCCCAGGGGAAUCAUUUGUUUCACCUCGCGCAAGUGGCUGCUCUUUUGCAAAGAUGAUCAUAGAAACAUAGAAUCAUGGAGUGGUUAGAGAUGGAAAGGGCCUUAAGAUCAUCCAGUUCCAACCCCCUGCCAUGGGCAGGGACACCUCACACCAGACCCUGUCACCCAAGGCUCUGUCCAACCUGCCCUCAAACACUGCCAGGGAUGGAGCAUUCACCACUUCUCUGGGCAGCCUGUGCCAGUUUACAGAGGAAAUGUGCAGUAACUUCCAAGGGUUUGCUUUGGAAAAGAGAUAAAAAAACCAAACCAAACAUACAAAAACUCCCCCCAGCA
This is a long non-coding RNA of Strigops habroptila (Kakapo), 1634 nucleotides long. The record is from Ensembl. NCBI's taxonomy places the organism in Eukaryota, Metazoa, Chordata, Aves, Psittaciformes, Psittacidae.